AUCACUAACUAGUUCAUCCUUAAAAAUACAUUAGGCUCCCCCGUGUCACUCUCUAUCAGGUCAACCAUGGGUGAAACUGAGUCCCGUGGAAGAGGGGCCAGAUGUUACUGGGGAAGGACCGGGUGACCCUAUAGUGGCACCUGGUUGUAUGAUGGGGUACCAUAUUAUACUAUGGCGGUGCUAGAUGAUCGGUGGAGGGACAGGAUUAUAUCGAGAUGACACUAAAUCCUCUCGUU
This 236-nucleotide long non-coding RNA is filed under the name Carica papaya (papaya). RNAcentral's name for it is "long non-coding RNA (CPAP_LNC011199)". The record is from RNAcentral. Lineage: Eukaryota; Viridiplantae; Streptophyta; Magnoliopsida; Brassicales; Caricaceae.